Molecule: ribosomal RNA, 490 nt
Filed under: uncultured bacterium
Lineage: Bacteria
Description: partial 16S ribosomal RNA
Rfam family: Bacterial small subunit ribosomal RNA
Source: RNAcentral
AUUGAACGCUGGCGGCAGGCCUAACACAUGCAAGUCGAACGGUAACAGGAAGCAGCUUGCUGCUUUGCUGACGAGUGGCGGACGGGUGAGUAAUGUCUGGGAAACUGCCUGAUGGAGGGGGAUAACUACUGGAAACGGUAGCUAAUACCGCAUAACGUCGCAAGACCAAAGAGGGGGACCUUCGGGCCUCUUGCCAUCGGAUGUGCCCAGAUGGGAUUAGCUAGUAGGUGGGGUAACGGCUCACCUAGGCGACGAUCCCUAGCCGGUCUGAGAGGAUGACCAGCCACACUGGAACUGAGACACGGUCCAGACUCCUACGGGAGGCAGCAGUGGGGAAUAUUGCACAAUGGGCGCAAGCCUGAUGCAGCCAUGCCGCGUGUAUGAAGAAGGCCUUCGGGUUGUAAAGUACUUUCAGCGGGGAGGAAGGGAGUAAAGUUAAUACCUUUGCUCAUUGACGUUACCCGCAGAAGAAGCACCGGCUAACUCCGUG